RNAcentral lists this ribosomal RNA (484 nucleotides) under uncultured bacterium. RNAcentral's name for it is "partial 16S ribosomal RNA". It matches the Rfam family "Bacterial small subunit ribosomal RNA", at positions 30 to 507 of the family's 1533-position model. The record is from RNAcentral.
AUUGAACGCUGGCGGCAGGCCUAACACAUGCAAGUCGAGCGGAUGAAGGGAGCUUGCUCCUGGAUUCAGCGGCGGACGGGUGAGUAAUGCCUAGGAAUCUGCCUGGUAGUGGGGGAUAACGUCCGGAAACGGGCGCUAAUACCGCAUACGUCCUGAGGGAGAAAGUGGGGGAUCUUCGGACCUCACGCUAUCAGAUGAGCCUAGGUCGGAUUAGCUAGUUGGUGGGGUAAAGGCCUACCAAGGCGACGAUCCGUAACUGGUCUGAGAGGAUGAUCAGUCACACUGGAACUGAGACACGGUCCAGACUCCUACGGGAGGCAGCAGUGGGGAAUAUUGGACAAUGGGCGAAAGCCUGAUCCAGCCAUGCCGCGUGUGUGAAGAAGGUCUUCGGAUUGGAAAGCACUUUAAGUUGUGAGGAAGGGCAGUAAGUUAAUACCUUGCUGUUUUGACGUUACCAACAGAAUAAGCACCGGCUAACUUCGUG